CAAAUAUCCCUUUGAAAAAGGUUUCUUCCGAAGACUAUGUCUCUAUACUCUAGUCUCUCAAAAUAGAACGAUACAUUUCCUUCUGAAAAUUAUAUAACAUCACCCGAUGAAAGAAGUUUUGAGACCGAAUCACUUAAUUUUUUUUAGUUCUCUCUACUAUCUCACUUUAGCUAUUAAAACAAAAAGUUAGAAGUGCAACAAAUUUAUGUUUUGGCAGUUGUAUGUUCGUUUAUGAGUAUAAGCAUUGAUUAUUUUGUUGAGCAUGACUAUUCUGAUUUUUCUGAUUUUUUGAAGGAGCUUAUCAAUAUUAUAUUAAAUCAAGCCUAAUUAACAAACUGGCAGUGCACGUGUAAUUUUUUUUCCAAUUAUUUGCUCAAGUUCUUUGGCAGAUCUGGCAAGUGGGCAGUUCUGACGACUUGACGUCGUUGGCCUCUCGGCUAUAUGUAUGCUCGUAGUCCUGUCUCUGCGUGGCGGCUGGAAUCUGUCUUAUAUGGCCGGCAAGUAUUAAAUCUGGCAACUCGUCCGCGAAUAUCUGACCCAAAUGGGUAGGAUAUUGGUCGAUGUUUAUGCCCAUGGAUAUACCCGAUGG
Molecule: long non-coding RNA, 589 nt
Filed under: Brachypodium distachyon (stiff brome)
Lineage: Eukaryota; Viridiplantae; Streptophyta; Magnoliopsida; Poales; Poaceae
Description: long non-coding RNA (BDIS_LNC000594)
Source: RNAcentral